Molecule: ribosomal RNA, 548 nt
Filed under: uncultured Glomeraceae
Lineage: Eukaryota; Fungi; Glomeromycota; Glomeromycetes; Glomerales; Glomeraceae
Description: SSU rRNA
Rfam family: Eukaryotic small subunit ribosomal RNA
Source: RNAcentral
UUGGAGGGCAAGUCUGGUGCCAGCAGCCGCGGUAAUUCCAGCUCCAAUAGCGUAUAUUAAAGUUGUUGCAGUUAAAAAGCUCGUAGUUGAAUUUCGGGAUCAGAUUGUUGGUCGUGCCUCGGUACGUACUGGCAUUAUUGGUUCCUACCUUCUGAAGAACCGCGAUGUCAUUAAUUUGGUGUCGUGGGGAAUCAGGACUGUUACUUUGAAAAAAUUAGAGUGUUUAAAGCAGGCUAACGCCUGAAUACAUUAGCAUGGAAUAAUGAAAUAGGACGUUCGAUCCUAUUUUGUUGGUUUCUAGGAUUGACGUAAUGAUUGAUAGGGAUAGUUGGGGGCAUUAGUAUUCAAUUGUCAGAGGUGAAAUUCUUGGAUUUAUUGAAGACUAACUACUGCGAAAGCAUUUGCCAAGGAUGUUUUCAUUAAUCAAGAACGAAAGUUAGGGGAUCGAGGACGAUCAGAUACCGUCGUAGUCUUAACCAUAAACUAUGCCGACUAGGGAUCGGAUGAUGUUAAUUUUUUAAUGACUCAUUCGGCGCCUUACGGGAAAC